UGAGGUGUAGCUCAGUGGAAGAGCACUUGCCUAGCUUUUGUGAGGCCCUGGGUUCGAUCCUCAGUACCACAA
This 72-nucleotide transfer RNA is filed under the name Heterocephalus glaber (naked mole-rat). It matches the Rfam family "tRNA". From Rfam's summary of the family: Transfer RNA (tRNA) molecules are approximately 80 nucleotides in length. The record is from Rfam by way of RNAcentral. Lineage: Eukaryota; Metazoa; Chordata; Mammalia; Rodentia; Bathyergidae.